UGAAAAAGGCGAUAAUCGGACGGUUCAGAUCGCUUGGUAAGAUUUUCGCACUCUUUCGAUUCCCAAAAAUUUAAAAAUAAUUUUGUGAUAAUUAUUAACAAAAUUUAGAAUUAAUUUAGAUGCAAUCGGAUCGAGGAUAGCUCAGUAGCGCCGGUACUGCAUUUUCAGCCAGAUUUGGCUGCUCGGCAGCUCGUCUCAAAACGUAGUAGAUAUUAUAGUCAAACCUAGCAUUUUCAGA
Molecule: unclassified non-coding RNA, 238 nt
Filed under: Hevea brasiliensis (rubber tree)
Lineage: Eukaryota; Viridiplantae; Streptophyta; Magnoliopsida; Malpighiales; Euphorbiaceae
Source: RNAcentral